RNAcentral lists this unclassified non-coding RNA (402 nucleotides) under soil metagenome. Its description in RNAcentral is "partial contains 5.8S ribosomal RNA, internal transcribed spacer 2, and large subunit ribosomal RNA". The stretch from base 1 to 121 matches the Rfam family "5.8S ribosomal RNA", at positions 35 to 154 of the family's 154-position model. The record is from RNAcentral.
GAUGAAGAACGUAGCGAAAUGCGAUAGGUAAUGUGAAUUGCAGAAUUCAGUGAAUCAUCGAAUCUUUGAACGCACCUUGCGCCCUUUGGCUAUUCCGAAGGGCAUGCCUGUUUGAGUAUCGUGAACACCUCAACUCUCAUGGUUUGCCAUGAUGAGCUUGGACUUUGGGGGUUUUGCUGGCCUUUGGUCGGCUCCUCUCAAACGGAUCAGCUUUCCAGUGUUUGGUGGCGUCACGGGUGUGAUAACUAUCUACGCCUGUGGUUUUCUGCCAGAUAACCUUCAGCGAUGGAGGUUCGCUGGGGCUCAUAAAUGUCUCUCUUCAGUGGAGACAGCUUUUUGGACGUUUGAUCUCAAAUCAGGUAGGACUACCCGCUGAACUUAAGCAUAUCAAUAAGCGGAGGA